ACAGGCUUCGGUUCUUGGUUUAGUGGCGCACGGGUGCGUAACGCGUAUGCAACCUACCUCUCACUGGGGGAUAGCCCGGGGAAACCCGGAUUAAUACCGCAUAAGAUAGCUGGCCUGGCAUCAGGUUGUUAUUAAAGCUUUGGCGGUGGGAGAUGGGCAUGCGUGCCAUUAGCUGGUUGGUAGUGUAACGGACUACCAAGGCUUCGAUGGCUAGGGGCUCUGAGAGGACGGUCCCCCACACUGGUACUGAGACACGGACCAGACUCCUACGGGAGGCAGCAGUAGGGAAUAUUGGGCAAUGGCCGCGAGGCUGACCCAGCCAUGCCGCGUGCAGGAUGAAGGCCUUCUGGGUUGUAAACUGCUUUUAUCAGGGAAGAAAACGCUCCUGCGGGAGUAACUGACGGUACCUGAUGAAUAAGCACCGGCUAACUCCGUGCCAGCAGCCGCGGUAAUACGGAGGGUGCAAGCGUUGUCCGGAUUUAUUGGGUUUAAAGGGUGCGUAGGCGGCCCGUUAAGUCAGCGGUGAAAUCCCAGGGCUCAACCCUGGAACUGCCGUUGAUACUGGCGGGCUUGAGUUUGGUCGAGGCGGGCGGAACUGGUGGUGUAGCGGUGAAAUGCAUAGAUACCACCAAGAACCCCGAUUGCGUAGGCAGCUCGCUAGGCCAAAACUGACGCUGAGGCACGAAAGCGUGGGGAGCGAACAGGAUUAGAUACCCUGGUAGUCCACGCCGUAAACGAUGAGUACUCGAUGUCGGCGACACACGGCCGGCGUCCAAGCGAAAGCGUUAAGUACUCCACCUGGGGAGUACG
Molecule: ribosomal RNA, 810 nt
Filed under: Pontibacter sp. D20
Lineage: Bacteria; Pseudomonadati; Bacteroidota; Cytophagia; Cytophagales; Hymenobacteraceae
Description: bacterial SSU rRNA
Rfam family: Bacterial small subunit ribosomal RNA
Source: RNAcentral